UUAGUGGCGGACGGGUGAGUAACGCGUGGAUAACCUGCCGUAUACCGGGGGAUAACACUUAGAAAUAGGUGCUAAUACCGCAUAAGCGCACAGCUUCGCAUGAAGCGGUGUGAAAAACUCCGGUGGUGUAAGAUGGACCCGCGUCUGAUUAGCUUGUUGGCGGGGUAACGGCCCACCAAGGCGACGAUCAGUAGCCGGCCUGAGAGGGCGGACGGCCACAUUGGGACUGAGACACGGCCCAGACUCCUACGGGAGGCAGCAG
RNAcentral lists this ribosomal RNA (262 nucleotides) under uncultured bacterium. RNAcentral describes it as "partial 16S ribosomal RNA". It matches the Rfam family "Bacterial small subunit ribosomal RNA", at positions 92 to 354 of the family's 1533-position model. The record is from RNAcentral.